Molecule: non-coding RNA, 355 nt
Organism: Pelobates cultripes (western spadefoot toad)
Lineage: Eukaryota; Metazoa; Chordata; Amphibia; Anura; Pelobatidae
Source: the annotation of a GenBank genome assembly
CUGUGUUUUUUGCUACCUCUUGGUUGGACAGGAGGUCCAAUCCACAUGAUUGGGCAGACCGUUUGCCCAUCAUGGCACACUAAUUGCAUAUUUUUCCCACCGGACAAACCGCCUUUGCUCCAUUCCAUCCCUCUUUUUUUCCGGUGCCAAGAAUGGCACUCCAAAUCAAGAACUGAAAUGAGCAUGUUCAGGCAUGCGCAAGUCAUUUUUUACUGAGAUCAGCCAGAAUUAUGUUGCAUUGCAGUUCAGUUCAAAACUCAUCUCCAAGUCUUAAUUACUCUUUCAAUUAAACUCCUUCAGUUUCUAAUCAACACAUUUGGAGGUAACAGGACAAUAUUUAAUAUUUGUUAUGCUG